UACGUAGGGGGCUAGCGUUGUCCGGAAUCAUUGGGCGUAAAGCGCGCGUAGGCGGGUUGGUAAGUCCGCUGUGAAAGCCCGGAGCUCAACUCCGGAGGGUCGGUGGAUACUGCCAGUCUUGAAGGUGCUAGGGGGAGAUGGAAUUACCGGUGUAGCGGUGAAAUGCGUAGAUAUCGGUAGGAACACCAGUGGCGAAAGCGGCCACCUGGACUGUACCUGACGCUGAAACGCGAAAGCUAGGGGAGCGAACGGG
RNAcentral lists this ribosomal RNA (253 nucleotides) under uncultured bacterium. RNAcentral's name for it is "partial 16S ribosomal RNA". It matches the Rfam family "Bacterial small subunit ribosomal RNA", at positions 524 to 776 of the family's 1533-position model. The record is from RNAcentral.